AUAUCAAUAAGCGGAGGAAAAGAAACUAACCAGGAUUCCCCUAGUAACGGCGAGUGAAGUGGGAAGAGUUCAAAUUUAAAAUCUGGCAUCCUCCGGGUGUCCGAGUUGUAAUCUAUAGAAGUGUUUUCCGUGCUGGACCGUGUCCAAGUUCCUUGGAAUAGGAUAUCAAAGAGGGUGACAAUCCCGUCCUUGACACGACAACCAGUGCUCUGUGAUACACUUUCUACGAGUCGAGUUGUUUGGGAAUGCAGCUCUAAAUGGGUGGUAAAUUCCAUCUAAAGCUAAAUAUUGGCGAGAGACCGAUAGCGAACAAGUACCGUGAGGGAAAGAUGAAAAGCACUUUGGAAAGAGAGUUAAACAGUAU
RNAcentral lists this ribosomal RNA (364 nucleotides) under uncultured fungus. RNAcentral describes it as "eukaryotic LSU rRNA". It matches the Rfam family "Eukaryotic large subunit ribosomal RNA", at positions 40 to 398 of the family's 3401-position model. The record is from RNAcentral. Lineage: Eukaryota; Fungi.